CGGUGUCAAUGAGCUUCUCAUCAAGAUAGCUGAAAGUGAAGGACUUUGGGUCAUGCAAGAGUGCAUAACCAAGGAACGAAGCAGGCAGUACGCGGUGCUGUACCUUUGCUACUCAGUGGAGUAGGCGGUAGGGUUGAUGGAGAAGACGGUACAAUCCCAGAGGCGACCAAACCUAUGAGAGAAUUACUCCAAGUUGGGGUGAAAACUUCCUGUAUUCCAAAAGUUCGAUGGCAUUGAGAAGGUGAAUCACAGUAACUAACUCAACGCAAGGAGUGCAAACACUUCAUGUGCUUCAGAAGUGUGAGCAAAGAGCAGGCGAAGGCCAGUAACCAGCUCGAUGCAUGGAGUACAACCUCGAGGAGGCGGGCGAAGUCAAGUAACCUUUGCCUUCUCAACUCUUAAGAGAAUGGGCGAAACUGAGUACCCCAAUUCUCUUU
This 437-nucleotide long non-coding RNA is filed under the name Musa acuminata (dwarf banana). RNAcentral describes it as "long non-coding RNA (MACU_LNC008819)". Lineage: Eukaryota; Viridiplantae; Streptophyta; Magnoliopsida; Zingiberales; Musaceae. The record is from RNAcentral.